Molecule: transfer RNA, 94 nt
Filed under: Pleurotus eryngii
Lineage: Eukaryota; Fungi; Basidiomycota; Agaricomycetes; Agaricales; Pleurotaceae
Rfam family: tRNA
About the family: Transfer RNA (tRNA) molecules are approximately 80 nucleotides in length. Their secondary structure includes four short double-helical elements and three loops (D, anti-codon, and T loops). Further hydrogen bonds mediate the characteristic L-shaped molecular structure. tRNAs have two regions of fundamental functional importance: the anti-codon, which is responsible for specific mRNA codon recognition, and the 3' end, to which the tRNAs corresponding amino acid is attached (by aminoacyl-tRNA synthetases). tRNAs cope with the degeneracy of the genetic code in two manners: having more than one tRNA (with a specific anti-codon) for a particular amino acid; and 'wobble' base-pairing, i.e. permitting non-standard base-pairing at the 3rd anti-codon position.
Source: Rfam by way of RNAcentral
ACACCGAUGGUGAAACGGUAUCAUGCUUGCCUUCCAUAGGCUUCCAUCCUUUAGGCGUGAGCAAGCGGCGUGGGUUCGACUCCCGCUCGGUGUA